RNAcentral lists this ribosomal RNA (253 nucleotides) under uncultured bacterium. Its description in RNAcentral is "partial 16S ribosomal RNA". It matches the Rfam family "Bacterial small subunit ribosomal RNA", at positions 524 to 776 of the family's 1533-position model. The record is from RNAcentral.
UACGGAGGGUGCAAGCGUUGUCCGGAAUCACUGGGCGUAAAGGGCGCGUAGGCGGCUCGGUAAGUAGGGGGUGAAAUCCUGCGGCUCAACCGCAGGGCUGCCUUCUAAACUGUCGAGCUCGAGCACGGUAGAGGCAGAUGGAAUUCCCGGUGUAGCGGUGGAAUGCGUAGAGAUCGGGAGGAACACCAGUGGCGAAGGCGACUUCCUGGCCUGUUCUUGACGCUGAGGCGCGAAAGCUAGGGUAGCAAACGGG